CAGGAUGAAGACCACCGUGGCAAUACUACUGUUGGUUUUCCUGACGUUAUAUUGCACUGAACCCGUCCCAGCGCUUGCCACACCUGCGCCCACACCUGCAGCCACACCUGAAGAUAGAAAUAACCUGCAGGGAAACGCUACUGUAGGAGAUAAUAGUGAAAAUGUGAAGAUAGGGAAGAAUGCAAGCUUUUCAGUAUUUUUUACGGGUUCACUAAAUGGGUCAAGUACGAACAAUGUUUCCUUUUUUUAACGGGGUUACAAAAUGGUGAUGGUGAUGGUGAUGAUGGUGGUGGAUUCUUUAAUGAUACGAAGGUGGUGAAUGAUGGAGGAGGAGGAGGAGGAGGAGGAGGAGGAGGAGGAGGAGGAGGAGGAGGAAACUCGACAGAUUCCUCCAUUUCUACCGAGAAGAUUGGACAUUUGCAUAUGAUUAAGGUUGGCGUGCUGUGUACCGUACUGUCCGUGCUGCUGCUGUUUACGUGCAAGAUGCUGUUACAAGUCUUCGCCCAGUACGCCGUGAGAGAGAAGCCAGGGGAGUUGUAAGAGCGCCUCCCAUUGGUCCCCGUGGCUGGUCCUUGUGUCUGAUUGGCUCCUCGUGUCCUGGCUGUGUGUUAGGAGGGUUCUGAUUGGCCAGCUUGUGUUUACCUGGUUUGUGUGACUAUUGAACGAUUUAUGGAAGAACGAGUGGAUAGAUAGAUAGAAAAGUAGAUAAAGGAAAUAUAGAUAGAUAAGUAAAUAGAUAGAUAGACAGAAAAAUAGAUAAAUGGAGAGAUAGAUAAUUAGAUAAGUAAAUAGAUAGAUAGAUAGAUAAUAGAUAGAUAGAUAGAUAGAUAGAUAGAGAGAGAGAGAGAGAGAGAGAGAGAGAGAGAGAGAGAGAGAGAGAGCAACAACAUUCCAAACUAUAUCUCCGUCAGUACCGGAAUGAUACUCGAAUGAAUCACAUAAACACAAACAAACAAACGAACAAUUGCCUUAACCUUUGACCUGACACGCGAGGUCACACUUAGCAUUAGGUUAGGGGAAGCAGGGAGGUCAGGAUGGGUCAGCUGUACAAUACUCACUCAUUGGAAGGUAGAAUUGGUUAGGUUAGGUUAAGUUAGGCAGUAAAUUAUGCAAAUGUAUCCCUUAUUUAUUUAUUUGUUGUGGGAGGAUGGAUGUUGGGAUGUGUUCUUAAUAAAAAUGUACAAAAAACAACUA
This is a long non-coding RNA of Portunus trituberculatus (swimming crab), 1194 nucleotides long. RefSeq lists it as uncharacterized. The record is from RefSeq and is a predicted model, not a curated record. The transcript is spliced from 2 exons. Lineage: Eukaryota; Metazoa; Arthropoda; Malacostraca; Decapoda; Portunidae.